UCUUCCGCAAUGGACGAAAGUCUGACGGAGCAACGCCGCGUGAGUGAAGAAGGUUUUCGGAUCGUAAAACUCUGUUGUGAGGGAAGAACAAGUACCAACUAACUACUGGUACCUUGACGGUACCUCACCAGAAAGCCACGGCUAACUACGUGCCAGCAGCCGCGGUAAUACGUAGGUGGCAAGCGUUGUCCGGAAUUAUUGGGCGUAAAGAGCGCGCAGGUGGUUGAUUAAGUCUGAUGUGAAAGCCCACGGCUUAACCGUGGAGGGUCAUUGGAAACUGGUCAACUUGAGUGCAGAAGAGGGAGGUGGAAUUCCAUGUGUAGCGGUGAAAUGCGUAGAGAUAUGGAGGAACACCAGUGGCGAAGGCGGCUUCCUGGUCUGUAACUGACACUGAGGCGCGAAAGCGUGGGGAGCAAACAGGAUUAGAUACCCUGGUAGUCCACGCCGUAAACGAUGAGUGCUAAGUGUUGGGGGUCGAACCUCGGUGCUGAAGUUAACGCAUUAAGCACUCCGCCUGGGGAGUACGGUCGCAAGACUGAAACUCAAAGGAAUUGACGGAAUC
This 562-nucleotide ribosomal RNA is filed under the name uncultured Bacillota bacterium. RNAcentral describes it as "bacterial SSU rRNA". It matches the Rfam family "Bacterial small subunit ribosomal RNA", at positions 362 to 920 of the family's 1533-position model. The record is from RNAcentral. Lineage: Bacteria; Bacillati; Bacillota.